This 217-nucleotide long non-coding RNA is filed under the name Lathyrus oleraceus (garden pea). Its description in RNAcentral is "Pisum sativum (pea) long non-coding RNA (PSAT_LNC011620)". The record is from RNAcentral. Lineage: Eukaryota; Viridiplantae; Streptophyta; Magnoliopsida; Fabales; Fabaceae.
UAUGACAUGUUUUCUAUUGCAUCCGGGCACAUGUUUUAGUAUGUAUAUCAUGUCUUGAUGUAUGGAUCCUUGCCCCCUGACUUUGAGUUUUGAUACCCUUUUGGUGCAUUUGUUUGACAAGAGGUUUAGGCCUCCUAUCCUUGGUUGCUUUUUGUGAGCUUUUUGUGAACUUUAAUAGCAUGAUUCAUGUGGUUGCUAUGAUUCUUUUGUUUAGUGC